GGAAGAAAGCCUGCCCAAGCCUGGUUUCAUAGCAUAACACAGCAGUAGUGUUAGAGAAGUAAAAAUGGGCUGAUGAGGCUUUCAUUCAGUAACACAACAGUGGCAACUUGAAUACUAAGGAAAAAUUUCACUUUAUAUAAAUGUGUGUGUGUGUAUGUAGUGGAUGCUUUCUCCUGCAUUAUUUUUUGAUGAAGAUGUUGAGAUGGCAUAUUUGGAUGCUUAACGAAAAAACUCCAAACCAUCUUUAGCUUCAGAUGCUGAAAAGAGUUGACUGUCUGCUCUUUCCCAUAGUGCAUCCUUUUGCUGCGUGAUUGACGUUACUGUUCUGGAGGGCAGCCCACACUGACUGAAAAUGAUCCUCACAGCGCAGAGAUGCACGCUAGAUUUCUUCCCAGUUAUGCAACAUGCUGGUCAUAUGCCAAAGCAGAAAAAUCACUGUUCACAGGACCAUGCAGGAAAACACCAGAAAUGUGAGAGCUAACCUGGGAGCCACAGGGGACUGACUAGGGGAGAUCACUGGGGUCUCUGUCGAGCACUCAGCAGAUGCCCAGUCCGCAUAUUACCCUAAUCUCUAUCAGAGGCCUUCUUGUCUCCAGCUGCAACAAUGGUCCAGAGUUGGUUGUUUUUUAAUGUCCUGCAUCUCUAAAAAGGGUCAGGGACAUUCUACCUUCCCCUUGCAAACAGAAUGUUUCUGAAUCUUGAAGGGUCUCUGUCAUGUUUUACAGAAAGUAGGAAGUUAUAUACCUCUGUAAGAUGAAUUAAUUUCUACGUGGUCAAGUCUCUUCUCCAAGAAUGCAAACAGGUGUGUCGAACCAUAGAGAAACCAGAUUCAAAAUCUGAUAAGGACUUUCUUUUCCUCUGCUUGCAGUAAUGAUCUCCAUCUCAUUAUCCGCUGUAUUCUUUCACACUGUCUGCUUGAUGUUCUUCUACUUCUAAUUUGGUGUAAUUUUGUUCUUUUCUUUUAAA
This 966-nucleotide long non-coding RNA is filed under the name Gallus gallus (chicken). RNAcentral describes it as "lncRNA (ENSGALG00010008460.1)". Lineage: Eukaryota; Metazoa; Chordata; Aves; Galliformes; Phasianidae. The record is from RNAcentral.